This 482-nucleotide ribosomal RNA is filed under the name Brachycephalus actaeus. RNAcentral's name for it is "partial large subunit ribosomal RNA". It matches the Rfam family "Bacterial large subunit ribosomal RNA", at positions 1848 to 2570 of the family's 2925-position model. Lineage: Eukaryota; Metazoa; Chordata; Amphibia; Anura; Brachycephalidae. The record is from RNAcentral.
AGAGGUCUAGCCUGCCCAGUGACUGAAAUUCAACGGCCGCGGUACCCUGACCGCGCGAAGGUAGCGUAAUCACUUGUUUUUUAAAUAAAGACUAGUAUGAAUGGCAUCACGAGGAUCAAACUGUCUCCUUUACAUAAUCAGUGAAACUAAUCCCCCCGUGAAAAAGCAGGGAUUAAACUACAAGACGAAAAGACCCUAUGGAGCUUCAAAUACAUAACUAUGCCCCCCCCGCACUAGUUAUAAAUUUUAGGUUGGGGUGACCGCGGAGAAAAACACAUCCUCCAUAACGAAUAAGUUUACUUUAAACAAAAAGUCACAACUUCAUGUAUCAACAAAUUGACAUGCUGAUCCAAUAAUCUGAUCAACGAACCAAGUUACCCUAGGGAUAACAGCGCAAUCCACUUUAAGAGUUCAUAUCGACAAGUGGGCUUACGACCUCGAUGUUGGAUCAGGGUAUCCCAGUGGUGCAGCCGCUACUAAAG